Molecule: non-coding RNA, 27 nt
Filed under: Homo sapiens (human)
Lineage: Eukaryota; Metazoa; Chordata; Mammalia; Primates; Hominidae
Source: RNAcentral
UAGCUCUUCGCUGGUUGUCACACGUCC